RNAcentral lists this non-coding RNA (24 nucleotides) under Arabidopsis thaliana (thale cress). The record is from RNAcentral. Lineage: Eukaryota; Viridiplantae; Streptophyta; Magnoliopsida; Brassicales; Brassicaceae.
AUGCCACAACAUUUUGAUCUCGCA